Molecule: small RNA, 27 nt
Filed under: Bombyx mori (domestic silkworm)
Lineage: Eukaryota; Metazoa; Arthropoda; Insecta; Lepidoptera; Bombycidae
Description: piRNA piR-bmo-1315551
Source: RNAcentral
AAAGAGAUCAACGUUUCCAUAGACAGG